CAGUCGCACUGGAUACAUGUCACCUUACUCAGGGAAUGGAAAUUACCUCGGUUUUAGUGGAAAUGAGGAUAUGCCUUAUGAAGGUUAUGAUCAGAACAGUUCACUAGGCAUAUAGAUAUGCAAAAAAUUUAUAAAAACCAAAAAAAAAAAAGAAGGAAAGAUCAAUGUAGCUGUUUUUUGUUUUUCCAAUGCAGGCCAAUUUGCAGACAAGCAAGUGGAAGAUGGAAGUUUGGGGGAAUACGGCGGAC
Molecule: unclassified non-coding RNA, 248 nt
Filed under: Hevea brasiliensis (rubber tree)
Lineage: Eukaryota; Viridiplantae; Streptophyta; Magnoliopsida; Malpighiales; Euphorbiaceae
Source: RNAcentral